RNAcentral lists this unclassified non-coding RNA (253 nucleotides) under uncultured bacterium. RNAcentral's name for it is "contains 16S-23S intergenic spacer region". It matches the Rfam family "Bacterial small subunit ribosomal RNA", at positions 524 to 776 of the family's 1533-position model. The record is from RNAcentral.
UACGUAGGUGGCAAGCGUUGUCCGGAUUUACUGGGCGUAAAGAGUAUGUAGGCGGAUACUUAAGUAGAAAGUGAAAGGUUGGAGCUCAACUCCAACAUUGCUUCCUAUACUGGGUAUCUUGAGUGCUGGAGAGGAAAGCGGAACGACACGUGUAGCGGUGAAAUGCGUUGAUAUGUGUCGGAACACCAAUGGCGAAGGCAGCUUUCUGGACAGAAACUGACGCUGAGAUACGAAAGCGUGGGUAGCGAACAGG